Molecule: ribosomal RNA, 254 nt
Filed under: uncultured bacterium
Lineage: Bacteria
Description: partial 16S ribosomal RNA
Rfam family: Bacterial small subunit ribosomal RNA
Source: RNAcentral
UACGUAGGGGCCUAGCGUUGUCCGGAUUUAUUGGGCGUAAAGAGCUCGUAGGCGGUUCGGCAAGUCGGAUGUGAAAUCUCCACGCUUAACGUGGAGGGGCCAUUCGAAGCUGCCGUGACUCGAGUCCGGUAGGGGAGUGUGGAAUUCCUGGUGUAGCGGUGAAAUGCGCAGAUAUCAGGAGGAACACCAGUAGCGAAGGCGGCACUCUGGGCCGGUACUGACGCUGAGGAGCGAAAGCGUGGGGAGCGAACAGG